AGCGGCGGAUGGGUGAGUAACACGUGGGGAACCUGCCCCUAAGUCUGGGAUACCAUUUGGAAACAGGUGCUAAUACCGGAUAAUAAAGCAGAUCGCAUGAUCAGCUUUUGAAAGGCGGCGUAAGCUGUCGCUAAGGGAUGGCCCCGCGGUGCAUUAGCUAGUUGGUAAGGUAACGGCUUACCAAGGCGACGAUGCAUAGCCGAGUUGAGAGACUGAUCGGCCACAUUGGGACUGAGACACGGCCCAAACUCCUACGGGAGGCAGCAGUAGGGAAUCUUCCACAAUGGACGCAGGUCUGAUGGAGCAACGCCGCGUGAGUGAAGAAGGUUUUCGGAUCGUAAAGCUCUGUUGUUGGUGAAGAAGGAUAGAGGUAGUAACUGGCCUUUAUUUGACGGUAAUCAACCAGAAAGUCACGGCUAACUACGUGCCAGCAGCCGCGGUAAUACGUAGGUGGCAAGCGUUGUCCGGAUUUAUUGGGCGUAAAGCGAGCGCAGGCGGAAAAAUAAGUCUAAUGUGAAAGCCCUCGGCUUAACCGAGGAACUGCAUCGGAAACUGUUUUUCUUGAGUGCAGAAGAGGAGAGUGGAACUCCAUGUGUAGCGGUGGAAUGCGUAGAUAUAUGGAAGAACACCAGUGGCGAAAGGCGGCUCUCUGGUCUGCAACUGACGCUGAGGCUCGAAAGCAUGGGUAGCGAACAGGAUUAGAUACCCUGGGUAGUCCAUGCCGUAAACGAUGAGUGCUAAGUGU
Molecule: ribosomal RNA, 745 nt
Filed under: uncultured bacterium
Lineage: Bacteria
Description: bacterial SSU rRNA
Rfam family: Bacterial small subunit ribosomal RNA
Source: RNAcentral